This 73-nucleotide transfer RNA is filed under the name Bos taurus (domestic cattle). It matches the Rfam family "tRNA". Rfam says of the family: Transfer RNA (tRNA) molecules are approximately 80 nucleotides in length. Their secondary structure includes four short double-helical elements and three loops (D, anti-codon, and T loops). Further hydrogen bonds mediate the characteristic L-shaped molecular structure. tRNAs have two regions of fundamental functional importance: the anti-codon, which is responsible for specific mRNA codon recognition, and the 3' end, to which the tRNAs corresponding amino acid is attached (by aminoacyl-tRNA synthetases). tRNAs cope with the degeneracy of the genetic code in two manners: having more than one tRNA (with a specific anti-codon) for a particular amino acid; and 'wobble' base-pairing, i.e. permitting non-standard base-pairing at the 3rd anti-codon position. The record is from Rfam by way of RNAcentral. RNAcentral also lists the same sequence under 2 other names. Lineage: Eukaryota; Metazoa; Chordata; Mammalia; Artiodactyla; Bovidae.
UCCCUGGUGGUCCAGUGGCUAAGACUCUGUGCUCCCAAUGCAGGGGGCCUGGGUUCGAUCCCUAGACAAGGAG